RNAcentral lists this transfer RNA (65 nucleotides) under Phytoseiulus persimilis. RNAcentral's name for it is "tRNA-Thr". Lineage: Eukaryota; Metazoa; Arthropoda; Arachnida; Mesostigmata; Phytoseiidae. RNAcentral also lists the same sequence under 1 other name. The record is from RNAcentral.
GUCUUUAUAAUUUAAAAAAUAAAAUAUUAAUUUUGUAAAUUAAAAAUAAGUUUGCUUUAAAGACU